Molecule: ribosomal RNA, 429 nt
Filed under: bacterium
Lineage: Bacteria
Description: partial 16S ribosomal RNA
Rfam family: Bacterial small subunit ribosomal RNA
Source: RNAcentral
UAGGGAAUCUUCCACAAUGGACGCAAGUCUGAUGGAGCAACGCCGCGUGAGUGAAGAAGGUUUUCGGAUCGUAAAGCUCUGUUGUUGGUGAAGAAGGAUAGAGGUAGUAACUGGCCUUUAUUUGACGGUAAUCAACCAGAAAGUCACGGCUAACUACGUGCCAGCAGCCGCGGUAAUACGUAGGUGGCAAGCGUUGUCCGGAUUUAUUGGGCGUAAAGCGAGCGCAGGCGGAAGAAUAAGUCUGAUGUGAAAGCCCUCGGCUUAACCGAGGAACUGCAUCGGAAACUGUUUUUCUUGAGUGCAGAAAAGGAGAGUGGAAUUCCAUGAGUAGCGGUGGAAUGCGUAGAUAUAUGGAAGAACACCAGUCGCGAAGGCGACUCUCUGGUCUGCAACUGACGCUGAGGCUCGAAAGCAUGGGUAGCGAGCAGG